GUAGGUGGCAAGCGUUGUCCGGAAUUAUUGGGCGUAAAGCGCGCGCAGGCGGUUCGUUUAAGUCUGAUGUGAAAGCCCACGGGCUCAACCGUGGAGGGUCAUUGGAAACUGGAGAACUUGAGUACAGAAGAGGAAAGCGGAAUUCCACGUGUAGCGGUGAAAUGCGUAGAGAUGUGGAGGAACACCAGUGGCGAAGGCGGCUUUCUGGUCUGUAACUGACGCUGAGGCGCGAAAGCGUGGGGAGCAAACAGGAUUAGAUACCCUGGUAGUCCACGCCGUAAACGAUGAGUGCUAAGUGUUAGGGGGUUUCCGCCCCUUAGUGCUGCGGCUAACGCAUUAAGCACUCCGCCUGGGGAGUACGGCCGCAAAGGCUG
Molecule: ribosomal RNA, 374 nt
Filed under: uncultured organism
Description: partial 16S ribosomal RNA
Rfam family: Bacterial small subunit ribosomal RNA
Source: RNAcentral